GACGAACGCUGGCGGCGUGCUUAACACAUGCAAGUCGAACGGAAAGGCCCUGCUUUUGUGGGGUGCUCGAGUGGCGAACGGGUGAGUAACACGUGAGUAACCUGCCCUUGACUUUGGGAUAACUUCAGGAAACUGGGGCUAAUACCGGAUAGGAGCUCCUGCUGCAUGGUGGGGGUUGGAAAGUUUCGGCGGUUGGGGAUGGACUCGCGGCUUAUCAGCUUGUUGGUGGGGUAGUGGCUUACCAAGGCUUUGACGGGUAGCCGGCCUGAGAGGGUGACCGGCCACAUGGGGACUGAGAUACGGCCCAGACUCCUACGGGAGGCAGCGGUGGGGAAUAUUGCACAGUGGGCGGAAGCCUGAUGCAGCAACGCCGCGUGCGGGAUGACGGCCUUCGGGUUGUAAACCGCUUUCGCCUGUGACGAAGCGUGAGUGACGGUAAUGGGUAAAGAAGCACCGGCUAACUACGUG
RNAcentral lists this ribosomal RNA (468 nucleotides) under uncultured bacterium. RNAcentral's name for it is "partial 16S ribosomal RNA". It matches the Rfam family "Bacterial small subunit ribosomal RNA", at positions 28 to 507 of the family's 1533-position model. The record is from RNAcentral.